Molecule: ribosomal RNA, 79 nt
Filed under: Neisseria gonorrhoeae
Lineage: Bacteria; Pseudomonadati; Pseudomonadota; Betaproteobacteria; Neisseriales; Neisseriaceae
Also listed under: 11 other names
Description: partial 16S ribosomal RNA
Rfam family: Bacterial small subunit ribosomal RNA
Source: RNAcentral
GUCGAAGGUGGGACUGGCGAUUGGGACGAAGUCGUAACAAGGUAGCCGUACCGGAAGGUGCGGCUGGAUCACCUCCUUU